This 392-nucleotide ribosomal RNA is filed under the name uncultured bacterium. RNAcentral's name for it is "partial 16S ribosomal RNA". It matches the Rfam family "Bacterial small subunit ribosomal RNA", at positions 523 to 918 of the family's 1533-position model. The record is from RNAcentral.
AUACGGAGGAUCCGAGCGUUAUCCGGAUUUAUUGGGUUUAAAGGGUGCGCAGGCGGCCAUUUAAGUCAGCGGUUAAAUCGUGGGGCUCAACCCCAUUCUGCCGUUGAUACUGCGUGGCUUGAUUGCGGUCGAGGUUGGCGGAAUUCGUUGUGUAGCGGUGAAAUGCAUAGAUAUGACGAAGAACACCGAUUGCGUAGGCAGCUGACCAGACCGCAAAUGACGCUCAUGCACGAAAGGGCGGGGAUCGAACAGGAUUAGAUGCCCUGGUAGUCCGCACAGUAAACGAUGAAUACUUGUUUUCGGCGAUAUAAUGUCGGAGGCAAAGCGAAAGCGAUAAGUAUUCCACCUGGGGAGUACGCCGGCAACGGUGAAACUCAAAGGAAUUGACGGGG